RNAcentral lists this ribosomal RNA (253 nucleotides) under uncultured bacterium. Its description in RNAcentral is "partial 16S ribosomal RNA". It matches the Rfam family "Bacterial small subunit ribosomal RNA", at positions 524 to 776 of the family's 1533-position model. The record is from RNAcentral.
UACGGAGGGCGCAAGCGUUGUUCGGAAUCACUGGGCGUAAAGCGCGUGUAGGCGGCCGGGCAAGUCGGGUGUGAAAUCCCGAGGCUCAACCUCGGAACUGCAUUCGAAACUGCUCGGCUCGAGUCCCGGAGAGGAUGGCGGAAUUCCAGGUGUAGGGGUGAAAUCCGUAGAUAUCGGGAGGAACACCAGCGGCGAAGGCGGCCAUCUGGACGGUGACUGACGCUGAGACGCGAAAGCGUGGGGAGCAAACAGG